This 512-nucleotide small RNA is filed under the name Pan troglodytes (chimpanzee). Its description in RNAcentral is "processed transcript". Lineage: Eukaryota; Metazoa; Chordata; Mammalia; Primates; Hominidae. The record is from RNAcentral.
AGAGAGAAAAGACUGCGAGGUGGCCGCAGCUGUGGCCGGAGAGGUGGGAGUCGGAGCGAGGCCCUCUCGGGGGAGCAGGGUGAACGCCGGCCACUCUAGGAUCCUCACUCGGGGAGAGGAGGCAUAGCUGGCGGUGUCACCUCCAGUCGCAACGUACUCCGGGUCGGCCUUGCGCUCGGGGCCUGAGAGGGGCGGCGGCGGGGUCAGGGGCCGCACAAAGAAUGAACCAGCAGUGGAAGAGAAAAUACUGUAAGCUGGCUGACUGCUGGUGAAGAAAAUGCUUUAUUUUUGUGGCAGGCAUCUGUGGGAUCUGUAAUAGAAAUAAAAUUGCCAUCUUUUUGAGCCUUGUCUAUUGAGGAACCAAGAACACAGAAAAGGCAGUAAAAAGAAAAAAAAGGAUUGUUUUAAGAUUGAAUGUGCUGUGAUGAUAGCCUAGGAUUAUUGUUUUUCAAUUUUUGAUGAGCGGGAUCUUCAAUAUUCAUGUUAUUUUCUCCUUUGGUCUUAUAUGAUUG